AUACCCGAGAUUCACAAAGAGACUGAAAAGACCCACUCGAAUAGUCCCCAAACUCACGGAUCUACAACUUUUGAGGGUAGAGCCGGGAGAAAACAACCCUUCAGCUGCCGAUCCAGUGGUCCCAGAAGUCAAAAAUAAACAGCAAAGGCUUCGGCCGCAGCAAAUGAGGAAGGGAUAUGCGGAUCCAUGAUAGAGCCGAGGAAAAAAAAAAUAAACACAUAA
This is a long non-coding RNA of Pyrus x bretschneideri (Chinese white pear), 222 nucleotides long. RefSeq lists it as uncharacterized. NCBI's taxonomy places the organism in Eukaryota, Viridiplantae, Streptophyta, Magnoliopsida, Rosales, Rosaceae. The record is from RefSeq and is a predicted model, not a curated record. The transcript has 3 exons.